CGCGAAUAGCUCAUUACAACAGCUAAAAUCUACUUGAUCUUGACACAAUCCUACUUGGAUAACUGUGGUAAUUCUAGAGCUAAUACAUGCAUUAAAGCUCUGACCUCACGGGACGAGUGCAUUUAUUAGAACAAAACCAAGCGGCUUCGGCUGUUUUCGGUUGACUCAUAGUAACUGAGCUGAUCGCAUGGUCUUGCACCGGCGACGUGUCUUUCGAGUAUCUGCCGUAUCAACUUUCGAUGGUAGUGUAUCUGACUACCAUGGUGAUCACGCGUAACGGAGAAUAAGGGUUCGACUCCGGAGAGUUCGCCUGAGAAAUCGCGAACACAUCUAAGGAAGGCAGCAGGCGCGAAAAUUACCCACUCUCAGCACGAGGAGGUAGUGACGAAAAAUAACGAGACCGUUCUCUUUCGAGGCCGGUCAUCGGAAUGGGUACAAUUUAAACCCUUUAACGAGUAUCUAUGAGGGGGCAAGUCUGGUGCCAGCAGCCGCGGUAAUUCCAGCU
RNAcentral lists this ribosomal RNA (505 nucleotides) under Heterocephalobus elongatus. RNAcentral's name for it is "SSU rRNA". It matches the Rfam family "Eukaryotic small subunit ribosomal RNA", at positions 88 to 590 of the family's 1831-position model. The record is from RNAcentral. Lineage: Eukaryota; Metazoa; Nematoda; Chromadorea; Rhabditida; Cephalobidae.